Molecule: ribosomal RNA, 948 nt
Filed under: Escherichia coli
Lineage: Bacteria; Pseudomonadati; Pseudomonadota; Gammaproteobacteria; Enterobacterales; Enterobacteriaceae
Description: partial 23S ribosomal RNA
Rfam family: Bacterial large subunit ribosomal RNA
Source: RNAcentral
GCGAGCGAACGGGGAGGAGCCCAGAGCCUGAAUCAGUGUGUGUGUUAGUGGAAGCGUCUGGAAAGGCGCGCGAUACAGGGUGACAGCCCCGUACACAAAAAUGCACAUAUUGUGAGCUCGAUGAGUAGGGCGGGACACGUGGUAUCCUGUCUGAAUAUGGGGGGACCAUCCUCCAAGGCUAAAUACUCCUGACUGACCGAUAGUGAACCAGUACCGUGAGGGAAAGGCGAAAAGAACCCCGGCGAGGGGAGUGAAAAAGAACCUGAAACCGUGUACGUACAAGCAGUGGGAGCCUCUUAAUGGGGUGACUGCGUACCUUUUGUAUAAUGGGUCAGCGACUUAUAUUCUGUAGCAAGGUUAACCGAAUAGGGGAGCCGAAGGGAAACCGAGUCUUAACUGGGCGUUAAGUUGCAGGGUAUAGACCCGAAACCCGGUGAUCUAGCCAUGGGCAGGUUGAAGGUUGGGUAACACUAACUGGAGGACCGAACCGACUAAUGUUGAAAAAUUAGCGGAUGACUUGUGGCUGGGGGUGAAAGGCCAAUCAAACCGGGAGAUAGCUGGUUCUCCCCGAAAGCUAUUUAGGUAGCGCCUCGUGAAUUCAUCUCCGGGGGUAGAGCACUGUUUCGGCAAGGGGGUCAUCCCGACUUACCAACCCGAUGCAAACUGCGAAUACCGGAGAAUGUUAUCACGGGAGACACACGGCGGGUGCUAACGUCCGUCGUGAAGAGGGAAACAACCCAGACCGCCAGCUAAGGUCCCAAAGUCAUGGUUAAGUGGGAAACGAUGUGGGAAGGCCCAGACAGCCAGGAUGUUGGCUUAGAAGCAGCCAUCAUUUAAAGAAAGCGUAAUAGCUCACUGGUCGAGUCGGCCUGCGCGGAAGAUGUAACGGGGCUAAACCAUGCACCGAAGCUGCGGCAGCGACACUAUGUGUUGUUGGGUAGGGGAGCG